GCUGUACUACCUUAACAACAUUACCUCCGCGGUCUUACCGAGAAAAAUGACUCCCUGGGAUCAGCAGAAGCUUCGGCCGCGGCCGUGUCGACCCGGAGCAGCGUCCCCCUGCUCUGUCGGGGAGCCAUGAGCAUGCCACUGCUGCGGCCUCCUCGUUCCAGCCUCAACGACGCAUCACCAGCAAGAUGUAUUUCAACCGGAGAGCCAAGAGGAUACACAGCGAGGGAGCCUCGCCUCUCUCCCAUCAAUCCAACGGUGCAGGACCUGCUUGCUCGUCCACCGGUUACCGCAAGGCAGAUGAUGAGAUGUCCGGGACCACUUCCCAGGCGGAUCCCGUAGACGCCACGGCGCGGACGGUGCUGCUCAACCGGCCACAGAUUACCAAGUUCUGUGACAACCACGUCAGUACCACCAAGUAUGGGGUCCUCACCUUUCUGCCUCGGUUCCUGUAUGAGCAGAUCAGGCGAGCUGCAAACGCCUUCUUCCUGUUCAUCGCACUCAUGCAGCAAAUCCCUGAUGUAUCACCGACCGGUCGCUACACCACACUGGUCCCGCUCAUCUUCAUCCUCACCGUGGCGGGAAUCAAAGAGAUCAUAGAGGACUACAAAAGACACAAAGCAGACAACACCGUGAACAAGAAGAAGACAACAGUGCUGCAGGGCGGAGCCUGGCAGACGAUCAUCUGGAAACAGGUGGCAGUAGGAGACAUAGUGAAGGUGACCAAUGGCCAACACCUUCCAGCUGACAUGGUUAUUGUGUCCUCCAGUGAGCCUCAGGCCAUGUGUUACACCGAGACCUCCAACCUGGAUGGAGAAACCAACCUGAAGAUCAGACAGGGUCUCUCGCUCACAGCGGGGGCUCAGACUCUGGAGGAUUUGGUGGCGCUGUCUGGCCGUUUGGAGUGUGAGGGUCCAAACAGACACCUGUAUGAUUUCACUGGCACACUGCGACUGGAGAACCAGAAUCCUGUUCCCUUGGGUCCGGACCAGGUGUUGCUGCGCGGCGCUCAGCUCAGGAACACACAGUGGGUUGCAGGAAUUGUUGUCUACACUGGCCACGACUCCAAACUGAUGCAGAACUCCACCAAGGCGCCUCUGAAGCGCUCUAACGUGGAGCGGGUGACCAACAUGCAGAUCCUAGUCUUGUUUGGCAUCCUGCUGGUCAUGGCCCUGGUCAGCUCUGUGGGUGCCGCCAUCUGGAACAGAGAACACACCGAAGACGCCUGCUGGUACCUGUCCCGGGCCGGCGACAUCUCCACUAACUUUGCUUACAACCUGCUGACGUUCAUCAUCCUGUACAACAACCUGAUCCCCAUCAGCCUGCUGGUCACUCUGGAGGUGGUCAAGUUCACACAGGCACUCUUCAUCAACUGGGACAUGGAGAUGUAUUACGCAGAGACCGACACGCCGGCCAUGGCUCGAACGUCCAAUCUUAACGAGGAGCUGGGCCAGGUGAAGUAUCUCUUCUCCGACAAGACGGGAACUCUGACCUGUAACGUCAUGCACUUCAAGAAGUGUACCAUUGCAGGAAUCACAUACGGCCACUUCCCCGAGCUUGACUGUGACCGUUCAAUGGAGGACUUUAGUAAUCUGCCGUCCAACAGCAAUAACUCGACAGAGUUCGACGACCCAACACUAGUCCAAAACAUAGAGAACCAUCCUACAUCACCGCAGAUCUGCGAGUUCCUCACCAUGAUGGCAGUGUGCCACACGGUGGUCCCAGAGAGAGAGGAAAACCAGAUCAUCUACCAGGCCUCUUCACCAGACGAAGGAGCGCUGGUCAAAGGUGCAAAAGGCCUCGGGUUUGUCUUCACCGCGAGAACACCGGACUCAGUCAUAAUCGAAGCUAGGGGGAAAGAGAUGAGCUAUGAGCUACUGAACGUUCUGGAGUUUUCCAGUAACCGCAAACGCAUGUCUGUGGUUGUGAGAACCCCCUGUGGGAAGCUACGCCUGUACUGCAAAGGAGCGGAUAAUGUCAUUUUUGAACGGCUGAUGGAGUCAUCCGAGUAUAAAGAAUUAACUGUUGCUCAUCUGGAACAAUUUGCUACUGAAGGCCUGAGGACUUUAUGUUUUGCCUAUGUGGACCUGGAGGAAGGCGCCUACCAGGAGUGGCUGAAGGAAUACAAUCGUGUCAGCACUGUGCUCAAAGACCGCGCUCAGAAACUAGAGGAGUGCUAUGAACUACUGGAAAAGAAUCUACUGCUGCUGGGCGCCACAGCCAUAGAGGACCGUCUGCAGGCCGGCGUGCCAGAGACCAUCGCCACUCUGAUGAGGGCGGACAUCAAGAUCUGGGUCCUCACUGGAGACAAGCAGGAGACCGCCAUCAACAUAGGUUACUCCUGUCGUCUGAUUUCACACGGCAUGUCCCUCAUCAUCGUCAACGAGGACUCUCUGGAUGCUACUCGCGCCACCUUGACAGCCCACUGUUCAUCUCUAGGCGACUCCCUCAGGAAGGAAAAUGAGCUGGCGCUGAUCAUCGAUGGUCAGACGCUGAAAUACGCGCUGUCCUUCGAGCUUCGCCAGGCCUUCCUGGACUUGGCGUUGUCAUGCAAAGCUGUCAUCUGCUGCCGAGUCUCUCCGCUGCAGAAGUCAGAGAUUGUGGAUAUGGUGAAGAAGCACGUCAAGGCCAUCACGCUGGCGAUAGGCGACGGUGCCAACGACGUGGGCAUGAUCCAGACGGCUCACGUCGGAGUCGGGAUCAGUGGCAACGAGGGCAUGCAGGCCACCAACUCCUCUGACUACUCCAUAGCACAGUUCUCCUACCUGGAGAAGCUCCUUCUGGUCCACGGGGCGUGGAGCUACAACCGUGUCACCAAGUGCAUCCUCUACUGUUUCUAUAAAAAUGUGGUCCUCUACAUUAUAGAGCUCUGGUUCGCCUUUGUCAACGGGUUCUCCGGCCAGAUCCUCUUUGAGCGCUGGUGUAUAGGCCUCUACAACGUUAUAUUUACUGCGCUGCCUCCGUUCACUCUGGGGAUAUUUGACCGGCCGUGCAGCCAGCAGAACAUGCUCCGAUUCCCCCAGCUCUACCGAAUUACCCAGAAUGCCGAGGGCUUCAACACCAGGGUGUUUUGGGGUCACUGUAUCAAUGCACUGAUUCAUUCAAUUAUUCUCUUCUGGUUUCCGCUCAAAAUGUUAGAUCAUGACUCUCCCUUCAACAACGGUCAGGGAAAUGACUACCUGUUUGUUGGAAACAUGGUGUACACAUAUGUGGUAGUUACAGUGUGUCUGAAAGCUGGAAUGGAGACCACCGCUUGGACCAGGUUUUCCCACCUGGCUGUUUGGGGAAGCAUCGCGCUCUGGAUGGUCUUCUUCGCUGUCUACUCCGCCAUCUGGCCCACCAUCCCCAUCGCCCCUGACAUGCUGGGCCAGGCUGGCAAGGUGAUGCAGUGCUGGCACUUCUGGCUGGGCCUGGUCCUGGUGCCUACUGCGUGUUUACUCAAAGACUUCGCUUGGACGGCCACACGUCGCACUGUGAGGAAGUCUCUCCUGGAGGAGGUGCAGGAGUUGGAGGCUCGGGCUGUCGACCCCGGGGCAGCUGUACUGAGGGAUGCCAGCGGCCGCAGAUGGAUCAAUUUGAACUGCUGUACUGACCUGUCUAAACGAACGGGCCCAUCUGCUGACAAGAGUCUUUAGGAAAACGCCUUCAAGCGUGGGCCGCUCCAACUCGGUGCAGCAGACUGUGUCACAUGGUUACGCCUUCUCUCAGGAGGAGCACGGCGUGGUCUCCCAAUCGCAGGUUGUGCGCUCCUACGACACCACCCGCCAACGCCCCAGCCUCUAGCCCCGCCCCUGACCAAGGCUUCGGCUCACCAACCAAUGGUUGUCAAGGCGACAGCGGAGAUAGACUCAUGUGAAACUCUCACACCGAGUGACUGACCCCUGCUGUGGCCUUACUUGGAACUAUGACCUGACCCCAAGCCAAGGGGAGGUAGGGGGGGGGGGGGGGGGGGGAGGGGUCACGGUCAGGCGUGGAGGCCGUCACUGGCGCACAGAGGACUGACUUGAGAGUAGGGACCAGGUCGACUUUACGGAUUAAACGUUCUUCAAACUCACACAAGUUGCAAAAGCAUGAGCAAUCAUAUCCACGCACAGACAUGAAAAGUCAAACUCAGAGACUGCUCCUCAUAUCAGUAUACUCCUCAGACUGGGUUUGCUUCAUGUCACUGUGUGUUUACGUGUGUGUGUGUGUGUGUGUGUGUGUGUGAGUGUGUGUAUGUGUGCGUGCAUUCCAGUGCGUCUGUAUCUGCCUGUGCAUGUAUGUCCGCACGCGUCGGCGCUCCUGUGUUUGUGUGCAUGUGUGUGUCUAACCCUGCGUGUUCCACAGCUCCCUCUCAUCUCUCUCGUGAGGUGGGUUUAGCUAAUCAGUCAUCACAUGCCGGGCGCGGGAGGGGAGGGGAUGUCAAAAUAAACACACGCACACAUGCACUGAUGAAUUAAGGCGGGACUUAAGCGAGCCAGACACUGAGGACUGCACCUCAGCUUCUACAGCCCCCAACUCUAUAUCCCAUCAUAGCACCGAGCCUCACUGCCAAACACUACUGAGAUGCCACUGAGGCAACACGCUACCGCCAAACUGGACCACCACCCUGCCCUGCUGCAACCCCUCCAACCUCACUGGGGCAUACCAAUGCUUUCUUUCCUCUGUCUCUCAUCACAUCUCCUUGUUCUGGCCAGUUUUUCUAAAACUCCAACCCUUUUUUUGCCCAGUUGUUUCUCACCGCUCCUGUGAGUCUCAUCAUGCAUCGUCAGCUGACAUUGAAGAAGAGAGCCUGGCAUUAGAGCUUCCUCCUUCACUUUUGUUGGCUUUCUUUACCGAGAUCUUCCUUUUUUUAUUAAAGUGGACAUUAAUGUGUACUUGUUUAUAUUGUUUUUUUUUCUCUUUUUCGUUAAUGCCUGUUUUUGUACUCAUGUGGAGAUCUGUCAUAGAGGGAAUAUUUUACUUGAAUUAGUGCUAAUAGGCAUCCAAAACCGAAGGGAUCCGACUGAGACACUCGCCUGGAUUGUGUGUGUGUGUGUGUGUGUGUGUGUGUGUGUGUGUGUGUGUGUGUGUGUGUGUGUGUGUGUGUGUGUGUGUGUGUGUGUGUGUGUGUGUGUGUGUGUGUGUGUGUGUGUGUGUGUGUGUGUGUGUGUGUGUGUGUGUGUGUGUGUGUGUGUGUGUGUGUGUGUGUGUGUGUGUGUGUUUUGUUUGGCUCUUGGACUUGUCUGACUGUACAGUAGAGUCCAUCGUCUGUGUGCUCUUUGUUGAGGACACUCCUGUUAAAGAAUGCAAGACUGAAAGGGAAGGAGAUGGGGGAUGUCCAUCUGAGUCCUAAUCAUUAAAACUAAUCAAUCCAUGGCCUAACUAAA
Labrus mixtus (cuckoo wrasse) is the source of this 5345-nucleotide RNA transcript. It is a transcript of the gene named ATPase phospholipid transporting 8A2, with no coding region annotated. NCBI's taxonomy places the organism in Eukaryota, Metazoa, Chordata, Actinopteri, Labriformes, Labridae. The record is from RefSeq and is a predicted model, not a curated record. The transcript is spliced from 37 exons.